RNAcentral lists this ribosomal RNA (601 nucleotides) under Aurelia ayla. RNAcentral's name for it is "partial large subunit ribosomal RNA". It matches the Rfam family "Bacterial large subunit ribosomal RNA", at positions 1837 to 2603 of the family's 2925-position model. The record is from RNAcentral. Lineage: Eukaryota; Metazoa; Cnidaria; Scyphozoa; Semaeostomeae; Ulmaridae.
CGAUAAAUCUGUAAGGUGAGACCUGCCCAAUGGUUGCUGAUAACAUAUAAGAGCAACUAAAUGGCCGCGGUAACUCUGACCGUGAUAAAGUAGCAUAAUCAUUUGUCAUCUAAUUAGUGACUGGAAUGAACGGUCAAACGAAUUCUUACCUGUCUCCGAAGAAUCCCGGCAAAUUUGAAUUGGCAGUGAAGAUUCUGCCACAUGACUAUAAGACGAAAAGACCCUAUCGAGCUUUACUGGAAACCUGUGAUGAACAAUACGUGUAAAGAUCACCUUCCAAUAGUCUCAGGUCUGACAGUUUGGUUGGGGCGACCACCUCUAAGAAAGUAUCAGAGGAACUCUAAUGAUUACCAUAAUAUGAGUGGUAGUUUUACUGAAGACAGACAAGUCAACCAGUUACCAUAAGUAGGACAUAGUGACCCGUUCCUGCAUUCGUUAACAGCAACGAUAAUGAAAUAAGUUACCGUAGGGAUAACAGGGUAAUAUUUUCAAAGAGUUCAUAUCGAUGAAAAUGUUUGCCACCUCGAUGUUGAAUUACGAUAUCCUGGAGGUGCAGCAGCUCCCAAGGGUUGGUCUGUUCGACCAUUAAAAUCGUACAUGA